Molecule: ribosomal RNA, 441 nt
Filed under: uncultured bacterium
Lineage: Bacteria
Description: partial 16S ribosomal RNA
Rfam family: Bacterial small subunit ribosomal RNA
Source: RNAcentral
CCUACGGGAGGCAGCAGUGGGGGAUAUUGCACAAUGGGGGGAACCCUGAUGCAGCGACGCCGCGUGGGUGAAGGAGCGUUUCGGCGCGUAAAGCCCUAUCGGCAGGGAAGAAGGAGGACGGUACCUGACUAAGAAGCCCCUGCUAACUACGUGCCAGCAGCCGCGGUAAUACGUAGGGGGCAAGCGUUAUCCGGAUUUACUGGGUGUAAAGGGGGCGCAGACGGCAGCGCAAGCUAGGAGUGAAAGCCCGGGGCCCAACCCCGGGACGGCUCUUGGAACUGCGCGGCUGGAGUGCAGGAGGAGCAGGCGGAAUGCCUGGUGUAGCGGUGAAAUGCGUAGAUAUCAGGAGGAACACCGGUGGCGAAGGCGGCCUGCUGGACUGCGACUGACGUUGAGGCCCGAAAGCGUGGGGAGCGAACAGGAUUAGAUACCCCGGUAGUC